GACGAACGCUGGCGGCGUGCUUAACACAUGCAAGUCGAACGGAAAGCUCCAGCUUUCUGGAGUACUCCAGUGGCGAACGGGUGAGUAACACCUGGGUAAUCUGCCCUGCACUCUGGGAUAAGCCCGGGAAACUGGGGCUGAUACUGGAUAUUACCUUUUUCCUUCUGGGGUUUGGUGGAAAAUUUUUCGGUGUAGGAUGAGCCCGCGGCCUAUCAGCUUGUUGGUGGGGUGAUGGCCUACCAAGGCGACGACGGGUAGCCGGCCUGAGAGGGUGAUCGGCCACAUUGGGACUGAGAUACGGCCCAGACUCCUACGGGAGGCAGCAGUGGGGAAUAUUGCACAAUGGGCGGAAGCCUGAGGCAGCGACGCCGCGUGAGGGAUGACGGCCUUCGGGUUGUAAACCUCUUUCAGCAGGGACGAAGCGUAAGUGACGGUACCUGCAGAAGAAGCACCGGCUAACUACGUG
This 466-nucleotide ribosomal RNA is filed under the name uncultured bacterium. Its description in RNAcentral is "partial 16S ribosomal RNA". It matches the Rfam family "Bacterial small subunit ribosomal RNA", at positions 28 to 507 of the family's 1533-position model. The record is from RNAcentral.